AAUCUGAUUCUUGUCAUAUGAUAGAAUCAAUUAACUUGAGUCUGUUGUGAAAUCUUAUAGAAAUACCUUUCCAUCAUUCACACUGUCAUGGUUACGGACUUUAAGACUCAGUGUCAUAAUUUACAUAAGACUACUCAUCAACCAAGAUUAAUAGAUUCCAUCUUGAUGUGCAUCUUAUUUCUAUAAUAAAUCUACUACAGUCAACAUACACCUCAAGACUCCGUAUGGCUAGAAGAUCGAGUUAUGGUGUAGUUAAACUAUAGCAACUUCACUGUGAACAGUUGAGAUACCACAGGUCUAAGAACUAGACACACUUCCACAGUAUCGAAUUAGUCACUGACGAGAAGGUAGACAUCUUAGUGACUACUCAUGAUUGAUCACACUCAGUAUCCUUAUUCUCUAACAAACACUUACACUUCACUCCGGUAUCUCCACACCAUAGAUUCAAGAUCCAUCUAUCUUAAGAAAGCAAACGUGCACCAAUCUCUCCGGAUCAAGCAUCGUCCUUGUGAUAAUCCUACAAUCGGAAGU
This 531-nucleotide long non-coding RNA is filed under the name Elaeis guineensis (African oil palm). RNAcentral's name for it is "long non-coding RNA (EGUI_LNC022092)". The record is from RNAcentral. Lineage: Eukaryota; Viridiplantae; Streptophyta; Magnoliopsida; Arecales; Arecaceae.